This 231-nucleotide unclassified non-coding RNA is filed under the name Hevea brasiliensis (rubber tree). The record is from RNAcentral. Lineage: Eukaryota; Viridiplantae; Streptophyta; Magnoliopsida; Malpighiales; Euphorbiaceae.
AAGUAGAUCACAAUCUUUUUCUCAGCUCCUGGGAUUUGAAUCAACGGCUCCGAUUUACGGGUCUCCUUGAGAUUUGUUUCGGGUUGAGGGAGUAGGGUUUUGAGGGGUAAAUCGGGUCCGGGUCGUACUGAUAGAGCACGAAGAACAGCGCUAACACGGCGUACACGAUGGAAGAUAUUGGGUUUUUUGUUGGGAGUGGGUGAAUUGCAAUUUGAAUCGUCGGAGAAAAGG